AUGAAAGUUGCCAAAGUUGUGCCACUGUUUAAGAAUGGUGACACACACGAGUUUACUAAUUACAGACCAAUCUCAAUACUGCCACAACUGUCGAAAAUCCUAGAGAAGCUAUUCAACAAUAGGCUAGAUAACUUCAUCAACAAACACAAAUUGCUAUAUGACAGCCAAUAUGGAUUCAGAAGGAACCACUCGACUGCCUUUGCUCUAACUGAGUCUGUGGAAAUCAUUACUGACGCUAUUGACCAAAAACAACAUUCAAUAGGAAUUUUCAUAGACCUGAAAAAAGUUAAUCAUGAUAUUUUAAUAGCUAUACUGGAGAGAUAUGGCAUCAGAGGUGUAGCACUGCAGUGGGUCAAGAGCUAUCUACACAAGAGAUCCCAAUAUGUCAAAAUGGGUGAUAACACAUCGACUAGCUUGGACAUAGUCUGUGGGGUCCCACAGGGGUCAGUUCUGGGUCCAAAGCUGUUUAUACUAUAUAUAAAUGAUAUAUGCAAAGUGUCAAAUAUUCUGAAAUUAAUAUUAUUCGCAGAUGAUACAAAUAUUUUCUGUUCUGGGACUGACUUGAACCAACUUGUGGAAACAGUAAAUCACGAAAUGGCCAAACUUCAUGUGUGGUUUAAUAUAAAUAAAUUAUCACUAAAUCUUGAGAAAACUAAAUACAUGCUAUAUGGGAAAAAAGGCUGCAACAACAGUACUAACAUUCAAGUAAACGGAGUGAAUAUUGAAAGGGUACAUGAGAACAAAGUACUGGGAGUAAUCAUCGACGACAUGUUAAGUUGGAAGCCACACAUAAGACAGCUAAAAAGGAAGUUGGCCAGGAGUGUGUCCAUACUCUGGAAAGCACAAAAGAUAUUAAAUCAAAAAGCACUUCAUCUGUUGUACUGUGCACUCGUCUCUCCACACCUGCAAUACUGUGCAGAGGUGUGGGGACACACAUAUAAAGGCUCCACACAGCCUUUGUUAAUACUCCAAAAAAGAGCUUUGAGAAUCUUACAUUAUGCCAACUAUAGGGCACACACAAAUCAGUUAUUUAUUGAAUCAAGAAUACUUAAACUAUAUGACUUAAUAAACUAUCGCACACUACAAAUGAUGUACAAGGCUGCUAACAAAAGCCUCCCUCAUAAUUUGCAAAUACUCUUCCUAGACAGAGAGGAGAGACACAAUCUCAGAUGGAACAUGAUUUUCAGGCAAAGUAAAGUACGAACUACGUUAAAAUCCUUUUCUUUAUCGGUCAAAGGUGUUAAACAAUGGAAUGUGCUAGAAGAAGAUGUCAAAAAAUCAGCAACACUAAGUGGCUUCAAGAAAAAGUAUGUACAUUCAAUCGUUGAUCAGUACAGAUCAAUACAGGAGGGUUGA
RNAcentral lists this long non-coding RNA (1356 nucleotides) under Sparus aurata (gilthead seabream). RNAcentral's name for it is "lncRNA (ENSSAUG00010004570.1)". Lineage: Eukaryota; Metazoa; Chordata; Actinopteri; Spariformes; Sparidae. The record is from RNAcentral.